RNAcentral lists this transfer RNA (74 nucleotides) under Oryzias minutillus (dwarf medaka). Its description in RNAcentral is "tRNA-Leu". It matches the Rfam family "tRNA". From Rfam's summary of the family: Transfer RNA (tRNA) molecules are approximately 80 nucleotides in length. Their secondary structure includes four short double-helical elements and three loops (D, anti-codon, and T loops). Further hydrogen bonds mediate the characteristic L-shaped molecular structure. tRNAs have two regions of fundamental functional importance: the anti-codon, which is responsible for specific mRNA codon recognition, and the 3' end, to which the tRNAs corresponding amino acid is attached (by aminoacyl-tRNA synthetases). tRNAs cope with the degeneracy of the genetic code in two manners: having more than one tRNA (with a specific anti-codon) for a particular amino acid; and 'wobble' base-pairing, i.e. permitting non-standard base-pairing at the 3rd anti-codon position. The record is from RNAcentral. Lineage: Eukaryota; Metazoa; Chordata; Actinopteri; Beloniformes; Adrianichthyidae.
GUUAAGGUGGCAGAGCUCGGCUAUUGCAAAAGGCCUAAGCCCUUUGAACAGGGGUUCAAAUCCCUUCCUUAACU